RNAcentral lists this long non-coding RNA (369 nucleotides) under Nicotiana benthamiana. Its description in RNAcentral is "long non-coding RNA (NBEN_LNC035278)". Lineage: Eukaryota; Viridiplantae; Streptophyta; Magnoliopsida; Solanales; Solanaceae. The record is from RNAcentral.
AGCAACUUAGUCCUCAUCUUCAACCUUUAAGACGAGACCUAAUCCUAGCACACUACAACAAGGACCCUAGACCUAAAAAUGAAAACACAGUCGCCACCCUAGCUGAACCCUAGUAGACCAGCCGCUGCCAGCCACCCACCCUGAACCCAAAUCUCGCCGGUAAAUAUCCCUUCAGCCACAACUCCCAAAAAAGUCGAACCCCUCCACCCCCAUCGUGCUUUUUCUUCAGCAAAACAACGACCCCUCUGAUUUUGAGCGAGGAGUAGCCGUCUUCAACCUUGAAGACUACCAAAACCUAGAACCCAAAUCUCGCCGGAAACACCAGCGUCGCUGACCAGCAGACCCCAGCAGCGACUCCAUUCCAACGAC